This 2355-nucleotide ribosomal RNA is filed under the name Salmonella enterica subsp. enterica serovar Montevideo str. 556152. RNAcentral describes it as "bacterial LSU rRNA". It matches the Rfam family "Bacterial large subunit ribosomal RNA", at positions 594 to 2925 of the family's 2925-position model. Lineage: Bacteria; Pseudomonadati; Pseudomonadota; Gammaproteobacteria; Enterobacterales; Enterobacteriaceae. The record is from RNAcentral.
UGACUGCGUACCUUUUGUAUAAUGGGUCAGCGACUUAUAUUCUGUAGCAAGGUUAACCGAAUAGGGGAGCCGGAGGGAAACCGAGUCUUAAUUGGGCGUUAAGUUGCAGGGUAUAGACCCGAAACCCGGUGAUCUAGCCAUGGGCAGGUUGAAGGUUGGGUAACACUAACUGGAGGACCGAACCGACUAAUGUUGAAAAAUUAGCGGAUGACCUGUGGCUGGGGGUGAAAGGCCAAUCAAACCGGGAGAUAGCUGGUUCUCCCCGAAAGCUAUUUAGGUAGCGCCUCGUGAAUUCAUCUCCGGGGGUAGAGCACUGUUUCGGCUAGGGGGCCAUCCCGGCUUACCAACCCGAUGCAAACUGCGAAUACCGGAGAAUGUUAUCACGGGAGACACACGGCGGGUGCUAACGUCCGUCGUGAAGAGGGAAACAACCCAGACCGCCAGCUAAGGUCCCAAAGUCAUGGUUAAGUGGGAAACGAUGUGGGAAGGCCCAGACAGCCAGGAUGUUGGCUUAGAAGCAGCCAUCAUUUAAAGAAAGCGUAAUAGCUCACUGGUCGAGUCGGCCUGCGCGGAAGAUGUAACGGGGCUAAACCAUGCACCGAAGCUGCGGCAGCGACACUCAGGUGUUGUUGGGUAGGGGAGCGUUCUGUAAGCCUGCGAAGGUGGCCUGUGAGGGUUGCUGGAGGUAUCAGAAGUGCGAAUGCUGACAUAAGUAACGAUAAAGCGGGUGAAAAGCCCGCUCGCCGGAAGACCAAGGGUUCCUGUCCAACGUUAAUCGGGGCAGGGUGAGUCGACCCCUAAGGCGAGGCCGAAAGGCGUAGUCGAUGGGAAACGGGUUAAUAUUCCCGUACUUGGUGUUACUGCGAAGGGGGGACGGAGAAGGCUAUGUUGGCCGGGCGACGGUUGUCCCGGUUUAAGCGUGUAGGCUGUGUGUUCCAGGCAAAUCCGGUUCAAAAUCAAGGCUGAGGCGUGACGACGAGGCACUACGGUGCUGAAGCAACAAAUGCCCUGCUUCCAGGAAAAGCCUCUAAGCAUCAGGUAACAUCAAAUCGUACCCCAAACCGACACAGGUGGUCAGGUAGAGAAUACCAAGGCGCUUGAGAGAACUCGGGUGAAGGAACUAGGCAAAAUGGUGCCGUAACUUCGGGAGAAGGCACGCUGACAUGUAGGUGAAGUGAUUUACUCAUGGAGCUGAAGUCAGUCGAAGAUACCAGCUGGCUGCAACUGUUUAUUAAAAACACAGCACUGUGCAAACACGAAAGUGGACGUAUACGGUGUGACGCCUGCCCGGUGCCGGAAGGUUAAUUGAUGGGGUCAGCGCAAGCGAAGCUCCUGAUCGAAGCCCCGGUAAACGGCGGCCGUAACUAUAACGGUCCUAAGGUAGCGAAAUUCCUUGUCGGGUAAGUUCCGACCUGCACGAAUGGCGUAAUGAUGGCCAGGCUGUCUCCACCCGAGACUCAGUGAAAUUGAACUCGCUGUGAAGAUGCAGUGUACCCGCGGCAAGACGGAAAGACCCCGUGAACCUUUACUAUAGCUUGACACUGAACAUUGAGCCUUGAUGUGUAGGAUAGGUGGGAGGCUUUGAAGUGUGGACGCCAGUCUGCAUGGAGCCGACCUUGAAAUACCACCCUUUAAUGUUUGAUGUUCUAACGUGGACCCGUGAUCCGGGUUGCGGACAGUGUCUGGUGGGUAGUUUGACUGGGGCGGUCUCCUCCUAAAGAGUAACGGAGGAGCACGAAGGUUGGCUAAUCCUGGUCGGACAUCAGGAGGUUAGUGCAAUGGCAUAAGCCAGCUUGACUGCGAGCGUGACGGCGCGAGCAGGUGCGAAAGCAGGUCAUAGUGAUCCGGUGGUUCUGAAUGGAAGGGCCAUCGCUCAACGGAUAAAAGGUACUCCGGGGAUAACAGGCUGAUACCGCCCAAGAGUUCAUAUCGACGGCGGUGUUUGGCACCUCGAUGUCGGCUCAUCACAUCCUGGGGCUGAAGUAGGUCCCAAGGGUAUGGCUGUUCGCCAUUUAAAGUGGUACGCGAGCUGGGUUUAGAACGUCGUGAGACAGUUCGGUCCCUAUCUGCCGUGGGCGCUGGAGAACUGAGGGGGGCUGCUCCUAGUACGAGAGGACCGGAGUGGACGCAUCACUGGUGUUCGGGUUGUCAUGCCAAUGGCACUGCCCGGUAGCUAAAUGCGGAAGAGAUAAGUGCUGAAAGCAUCUAAGCACGAAACUUGCCCCGAGAUGAGUUCUCCCUGAGACUUUAGGUCUCCUGAAGGAACGUUGAAGACGACGACGUUGAUAGGCCGGGUGUGUAAGCGCAGCGAUGCGUUGAGCUAACCGGUACUAAUGAACCGUGAGGCUUAACCUU